This 258-nucleotide unclassified non-coding RNA is filed under the name Hevea brasiliensis (rubber tree). Lineage: Eukaryota; Viridiplantae; Streptophyta; Magnoliopsida; Malpighiales; Euphorbiaceae. The record is from RNAcentral.
ACUGCCAUAGAGUACCUGAAUUCCUUGUAGCGAUAGAAGGAAUCCAAAGCCCAGCCCUGAUUCUUGUCAGAAGCCAUAACCGAAACCGAGACCAAACAGAAGGCGAAUCCACAUAUUCUUAACCCUAGCAAGAUCUUCUUCCUCAAUUCCUCCCUCUUUAUUUUCUUCAUCGACAAAUUCGCCAUCAGCUUCCGUCCUCGCCCAACCUUACCGCCAUCGCGACUCUCUACAUCGCCAUCGCCGUCGCCAUCACUAUCA